RNAcentral lists this long non-coding RNA (4489 nucleotides) under Salmo salar (Atlantic salmon). RNAcentral describes it as "lncRNA (ENSSSAG00000112591.1)". Lineage: Eukaryota; Metazoa; Chordata; Actinopteri; Salmoniformes; Salmonidae. The record is from RNAcentral.
UUGGGCAAUAUCAACACAAUUUAUUAUGAGUUGUAAAACCUGACAUAUUACAAAAUCAAGACACUGGCAUUUCACAAGCAUGGGAACUGCUAUCAACAUUACAUCCAAGAUUAUUAAUAUAACUGAUAGUGAUGAACAUCUCAUUCUUUUUCACACCAUUUCAAUAUUCCACCACACUUGACCCCUGAACAUAGCAACAUUCAAUAAUUGAAUGACCUAAUUGUCUUUCCCAGAGUUCAUGAUCUGGGUUCAUUUUGUUAUUAAAGGCAUACAGAUGUGUAGUAUAAAAACGUUUAUUUGAAAUGUUAGAAAAUAGACCACUCUAUAAUGCCAUCAUCUGAUCAUAUGUGUGUAUUACAAGUCAAAUACUGUGGACGGUUCAAUAGCCUACCUGGAAAGGGAAAGAGGGAUACCUAGUCAGUUGUCCAACUGAAUGUAUUCAACUGAAAUGUGUCUUUCGCAUUUAACCCAACCCCUCUGAAUCAGAGAGGGGCUGCCUAAAUCGACAUCCACAUCUUCGGCGCCUUUGCUCAGGGGCAGAACGACCUUCCGGUUACUGGCCCAACGCUCUAACCACUAGGCUAACUACUGGCAUCAACACACAAGGAACAAGGUGAAAAGGAAAGAAUACCACACAUAAACUGUUACGUUUACUAAUCCAAUAUGUAUGACAAGUUGCAUUAGUUAGGUUAAGCAUAGGACAAUACAUACAUUUGUUAAUCUGUCGUCAAACUAUUCAGGUUUAAGAUCAUUUUCAGCAUUUGAUAUGAUCAAAUCUGUCCCGUUAUCCCUUGCAUCAGUGGCCUUAUUAUUUCCUUACACAAUGUACAUUCCUGAACCAGUCAGCUCAAAUACAACUUACAAUGAAUUAUUGAUGCCAUACACAUAAUUCCAAUUGAAAUAGAUCUGGCACUGUCAUAUUGAUGCUCCAGCAGAUCAAUAUAUUGUUGUUAAACACCAGACAAUGAACACUUGAAAGCAGAGAACAUUUAAAAUACUUCAUGCACAAUGCUUCAAAAAGGUUGGUGGGCCAUCAGAGUACCAUCCUGUCUCUGUAUGGCCGCACAUGUUAUAAGCUUACAAUGGUUACUACUAAUAAUAGUACAGAACCUAACUGUCAAGAUGACACCAUUAUGUAUUCUACUAAUUGUAUUCUCCAGUAACACUACCAUUGCAGUCUAUGCUAGCUACAAAAUGUAUUGUGGCAAAUAUUGUAUUAAUUAACUACUUUGGUAGUGAACAGAUAAAAUCAUAUGCCCUUGAAUAGCAAAUAAGGUAGUAUUUGCUAGUAAAAAUUACAUUUGGGAGUCUGUUCAGUCAAAACAUUUAACACAAAGAUUAGGAGCAUUAACAUGUUUAGUGGAAUCAGCAUAAAUGCACUAUUUCACAAUCAGUCUUAUCUUUUGCUCUCCACAAAAAUAUACGUGUUAUCAACAUUUUGUACAGGCUAAAUGAGAAUUUAAAGGCAUUUCAUGUAGCAAAGUAUCACAUUCUUCUGCAACAAAUACAUGUUUUGUGCAGAGGUACCAAAACUAAAAGAUGGAACAGUAUCAAUAUUUGGCUACACAUGUACUUCACUGUCAAAAUUCAAGUUGUCACUUUAAUUAAAAACAUAAAAUUAGCCAAGACGCAAUUUAACUUAAGUAGAAGUAGGUUUAUGUGUUGACUGCUAUCCCAACUUGUCUUUCAGAGAUGAUAAAGUAAUCAAUCUGAAAUGUUAUACAUCUGUUCAUAACAUAGCACAAAAAUAAAUACAAGUGUCAUACAUGCAUUAUUAUUACCACUAUUGUUGAUAAUAUUAUAAUUAUAUAAAUAUCAUAAUAUAUUGUUUAUAUUACUAUAUUACUUGAUUAUAUGUGAUUCAUAAGUCACUAUACGCAUAACAUAAUGGUAAACUGGACUUGUUUAUUUUUCCCACACCUUAUUUCAACCAGUUUGCCAGUUGUGUAAACCCUACCAAAAGGACACUACUCUGUGACACUCAUGAGCUAUGCAGCUGUUCCUUUUGGUCUAUCAAUAAAUAGAUACGAGAUACAAACAUUGAUUUUGAUCAUUAAUAUAUGUAUUCUCCUCUCAUGUUCCAGUUAGUUUAAGGUCCUUGAUGGUGUAAUCCAGUGCAAGAAAUUAUGUCUAACUUAUGUUGAUACAAAUGGACAACACCAACUUUAAAUGAGUUCAAAAUGGAUUAUCACACAAAAUGAAAUAUUUCAAAGACACCUGAUUGCAACAAGUGCAUUCCAACUGACGUGUUACCCAUUAAAAAUUAUUCUUCAACCUCAUUCUGAAAGAUCAGACAAUGGAAUGCUUAGAAUCAGCACCCUUAUCAAAACGAGGAGCAUUUUGUAGAAGUAUAGAUGGUUGAUAAGACUUCAGAACACCAUGACUGAAUCUGCCACUUGUCACCUGUGGUGCAGCCAGAGGGUGUUUUAUCUAGUUGAUCAGAAUCUGGGACCUGGGAGCUCUCAUGGACAUAUAGGAUAUGGUUAUUCCUUUCCAGACAUAUAGUACAUACAAUACAGAAACAACUUCACAGACUUCGAGGCACCAGCAGAAUUUCUUUUAAUGUGAGUAUGUCCCUACAAAUUUGAUGAAAAGCUUUAUGCUUCCUCAAAGUUAACAAACGCAGACUGAUGAAGAAGAAUAGAAGAAAAUUAUAUGAUUCAUAUAAUAUUCAAUAAUUAUACUACCUAAGAUCCGAUUUGGACCAAACUUUUUUCUAUCAACGAGUAAGACAUGAGGAAUCGAAAGAAUCAAAAGCCACCCACAGACACCACACACACACUAAUAAAGAGUAUACAGUAUUAGUUCUCUAUGUCUGACGAAUAGUAUGGAGCUGUGACUCAGAGUAUUGUUUCUUCAUCCUAUGUAAUGUAUUCUCAGUGAAUUUGGUGGUUUUUUUCUUCCUGUUCAGAGAAAUUAAUAAUUUAAGUUAGUUAAUGUCCCAUCCUACAUCUUCAUAUUACAAUGUUCUGACCACUAGAUGGUGCUGUUCCUACUUGUAGUUAUUUUUUUCAGAAUCCCCCCUCAUUGUUAAAGGGAUUGUUCACCCAAAUUACAUAUUGGUUUCCUUACCCUGUAAAGAGUUUAGGGACAAGGUAUGACAGCAACCCAUGUUUCGGUUUUGUUUAUCUGGCCGGUGUUUGAAAUUCUAACUUUUUAGCAUUUGUGGCACAAAUCCAACGCAAGUCAAUGGUACCUAUAUUAGCAUUUCCAAGCUUCAUAUCUAAAUCAUCUGUUAGUAACAUUACAGCUUUAGAUACUUCAGAAUGAUUUGGACAUGAAGCAUGAAAAUGCUAAUACAGGUACCAUUGACUUGCAUCGGAGUUGUGUCACAAAUGCUAAAAAGUUUGCAUUUGAAUCAGUGGACAACAAAACCAACUCAUGGACUGUUGAAUAAAUUUUUUCAAAGACUGCUUACAGGUAAGGAAAGCAAAAGUAAUUUCAUAAUUUAGGUGAACUGUCCCUUUAACAUGAAGUGGUGGAGGAAUUCUUUAAAAAAAAUCAAACCUGGAGGUUAGGGUCUAUAUUAAUUGAAUAAAAUGGCCAAUUUGGGUGGAAUCAAUUAGCUUAAUUUCCCAGAGAUCAAAUUAUAUUUCAGCAAAAUAUUGUUGCAGGAACGCUAAUCUUAUCUGUUCCCUAACAGAAACAAUUUCAGUACAAUCUGAGAUGGUGGGUGUCGAAAUCCUCUUUCUUGUGCUUCUUGAGAUGGAACGACUCACUGAUGUCUUAGCAAUGAUAUAGAGCCCAUGUUCAUGUAAAUAAAGCGUAAUUCAGAGUCCACAGCAACAGAGCAGCAGUUUGUAGUCCAGCCCAACCGAGCUCUUCCCUCAAAUUCUAGACCAACACUGCUCAGCUCCCAUAUGCAGCUCCCAUUCAACUGACUGUGACGACAGACAGAUUAAUUGCUUGAGCUGCGCUGAGAAUUUGAAAAGUAUGAAAGCCAACGGUACAAUCUGUGUUGCAGUUUGUUUAAAUGUGCCAUUCAAUUGAGAAAACUGACAACUAUCAAAGCGGGAAUUGAAUCAAGCAAAUUAACAUGGCCCUAAAAAAGGCUCACCUGCAGCAACUGAUGUAAACACAGUAUGCAUUGAUUCAUUCAAAAUACUGAUAUCCUGAUAUAGAUCAACUCAUGCCAUAUCAGCUAUCAAAAACAAAAUAUAACACGAACACAUUUGGAAAGGAAUGAUGUUGGCUAUCCAUGAGAGCUCAAUGAAUUCACUCAAAGUGCUUUGCUGUCCUAGGUUUCUGUUGAAGACCAGCUCGGGACGCUAGGCUGCAACAUGGCAGUAGUGGAUUCCAUGGCUUGGUUUUAUUAAUGUUUUAUUAUUAACUCCACACUAAAGGUGUCGCCCAUCUCAUCCCAUUUCUUUCUAGACUCUGUGCUCUUCACUGGGCAGGGCUCUCACAUCUGGAGAGGUGAGAAAGGGUAGAAGGGAUACUGGGCCUCAUCUUCAUCCACAAAAAAGCACUGGAAGUAGGGCAUCUCAUC